CCUACGGGAGGCAGCAGUGGGGAAUUUUGCACAAUGGGGGAAACCCUGAUGCAGCGACGCCGCGUGGAGGAUGAAGGCCUUCGGGUUGUAAACUCCUUUUGUAGGGGAAAAUGAUGAUGGUACCCUAUGAAUAAGCCACGGCUAACUCUGUGCCAGCAGCCGCGGUAAGACAGAGGUGGCGAGCGUUGUUCGGAAUUACUGGGCUUAAAGGGCGAGUAGGCGGUGGGACAAGUCUGAUGUGGAAUCCUAAGGCUUAACCAUAGAACUGCAUUAGAAACUGUUUUACUUGAGUCAGUGAGGGGAGGGCGGAAUUCCUGGUGUAGCGGUGAAAUGCGUAGAUAUCAGGAGGAAGGCCGGUGGCGAAGGCGGCCCUCUGGCACUGUACUGACGCUGAGGCGCGAAAGCGUGGGGAGCAAACAGGAUUAGAUACCCCGGUAGUCCAG
Molecule: ribosomal RNA, 443 nt
Filed under: uncultured bacterium
Lineage: Bacteria
Description: bacterial SSU rRNA
Rfam family: Bacterial small subunit ribosomal RNA
Source: RNAcentral